RNAcentral lists this ribosomal RNA (459 nucleotides) under uncultured bacterium. RNAcentral describes it as "partial 16S ribosomal RNA". It matches the Rfam family "Bacterial small subunit ribosomal RNA", at positions 339 to 795 of the family's 1533-position model. The record is from RNAcentral.
CUACGGGUCGCUGCAGUGAGGAAUAUUGGUCAAUGGGCGCAAGCCUGAACCAGCCAUGCCGCGUGAAGGAUGACGGCCCUAUGGGUUGUAAACUUCUUUUAUACGGGAAGAAACGUCUCUACGUGUAGAGGUUUGACGGUACCGUACGAAUAAGCAUCGGCUAACUCCGUGCCAGCAGCCGCGGUAAUACGGAGGAUGCAAGCGUUAUCCGGAUUUAUUGGGUUUAAAGGGUACGUAGGCGGAAGAUUAAGUCAGUAGUGAAAUCCUGCAGCUUAACUGUAGAACUGUUAUUGAUACUGGUUUUCUUGAAUGUAGUUGAGGUAGGCGGAAUAAGUAAUGUAGCGGUGAAAUGCUUAGAUAUUACUUAGAACACCGAUUGCGAAGGCAGCUUACUAAGCUAUGAUUGACGCUGAGGUACGAAAGCGUGGGGAGCGAACAGGAUUAGAUACCCGCGUAGUC